GAGGCAUUUUAGAAACAGUAGAAAAAGUCAGUAACCCAGAUUUCUCUGUGGCUCUGACUUUCCAGCAGUCGAGGGAGCCUCCACGCCCGCUCACACCUUGCCUACACCAUCGCACACUUGCUCAAGAGAGAAGGAAGCCCUUGAUUCCUGGUGGCAAGGGGCAGCUGAAGGUUACAUAGAGCUCAGCUGUGAAACCAUCUGUUCCUGGUGCCUUUUGUGAUGGUGGAUCUUUAACCACCUUUCCAGUCUCCCUGUGGUAGGUAAUUGGUCUUCUCAUUUUCUAAAUUUCCUUAGGUCAAUU
RNAcentral lists this long non-coding RNA (301 nucleotides) under Mustela putorius furo (domestic ferret). RNAcentral describes it as "lncRNA (ENSMPUG00000031872.1)". The record is from RNAcentral. Lineage: Eukaryota; Metazoa; Chordata; Mammalia; Carnivora; Mustelidae.